GACGAACCGUACGAACGUUAUUCGGAAUUACUGGGCUUAAAGGGCGCGUAGGCGGUCUUGCAAGUCCUGUGUGAAAUCCCUCGGCUCAACUGAGGAACUGCACAGGAAACUGCUUGGCUUGAGUUCGGGAGAGGGAAGCGGAAUUCCGGGUGUAGCGGUGAAAUGCGUAGAUAUCCGGAGGAACACCGGUGGCGAAGGCGGCUUCCUGGACCGACACUGACGCUGAGGCGCGAAAGCUAGGGGAGCAAACGGG
This 253-nucleotide ribosomal RNA is filed under the name uncultured bacterium. RNAcentral describes it as "partial 16S ribosomal RNA". It matches the Rfam family "Bacterial small subunit ribosomal RNA", at positions 524 to 776 of the family's 1533-position model. The record is from RNAcentral.